Molecule: ribosomal RNA, 498 nt
Filed under: uncultured bacterium
Lineage: Bacteria
Description: partial 16S ribosomal RNA
Rfam family: Bacterial small subunit ribosomal RNA
Source: RNAcentral
AUUGAACGCUGGCGGCAUGCCUUACACAUGCAAGUCGAACGGUAACAGGUCUUCGGAUGCUGACGAGUGGCGAACGGGUGAGUAAUACAUCGGAACGUGCCUAGUAGUGGGGGAUAACUACUCGAAAGAGUGGCUAAUACCGCAUGAGAUCUACGGAUGAAAGCAGGGGAUCGCAAGACCUUGUGCUACUAGAGCGGCCGAUGGCAGAUUAGGUAGUUGGUGGGAUAAAAGCUUACCAAGCCGACGAUCUGUAGCUGGUCUGAGAGGACGAUCAGCCACACUGGGACUGAGACACGGCCCCGACUCCUACGGGGGGCAGCAGUGGGGAAUUUUGGACAAUGGGCAAAAGCCUGAUCCAGCAAUGCCGCGUGCAGGAUGAAGGCCUUCGGGUUGUAAACUGCUUUUGUACGGAACGAAAAGCCCCGGGUUAAUACCCUGGGGUCAUGACGGUACCGUAAGAAUAAGCACCGGCUAACUACGUGCCAGCCGCCGCUGUAA